Molecule: ribosomal RNA, 301 nt
Filed under: uncultured bacterium
Lineage: Bacteria
Description: partial 16S ribosomal RNA
Rfam family: Bacterial small subunit ribosomal RNA
Source: RNAcentral
CAGUCGCCGCGGGAACACGAAGGGGGCUAGCGUUGCUCGGAAUUACUGGGCGUAAAGGGCGCGUAGGCGGAUGUUUAAGUCAGAGGUGAAAGCCCAGGGCUCAACCUUGGAACUGCCUUUGAUACUGGACAUCUUGAGUGUGGGAGAGGUGAGUGGAACUCCGAGUGUAGAGGUGAAAUUCGUAGAUAUUCGGAAGAACACCAGUGGCGAAGGCGACUCACUGGCCCAUUACUGACGCUGAGGCGCGAAAGCGUGGGGAGCAAACAGGAUUAGAUACCCCUGUAGUCCCUGUCUCUUAUAC